Molecule: ribosomal RNA, 478 nt
Filed under: uncultured bacterium
Lineage: Bacteria
Description: partial 16S ribosomal RNA
Rfam family: Bacterial small subunit ribosomal RNA
Source: RNAcentral
GAUGAACGCUGGCGGCGUGCUUAACACAUGCAAGUCGAACGAGAAGUGAAGACGGAAACCUUCGGGCGGAAGGCUUUAUUUCGAGUGGCGGACGGGUGAGUAACGCGUGGGUAACCUGCCUCAUACAGGGGGAUAACAGUUGGAAACGACUGUUAAUACCGCAUAAGACCACAGCACCGCACGGUGCGGGGGUAAAAACUCCGGUGGUAUGAGAUGGACCCGCGUUCGAUUAGCCAGUUGGCGGGGUAACGGCCCACCAAAGCGACGAUCGAUAGCCGAUCUGAGAGGAUGACCGGCCACAUUGGGACUGAGACACGGCCCAAACUCCUACGGGAGGCAGCAGUGGGGAAUAUUGCACAAUGGGGGAAACCCUGAUGCAGCGACGCCGCGUGAGUGAAGAAGUAUUUCGGUAUGUAAAGCUCUAUCAGCAGGGAAGAAAAUGACGGUACCUGAGUAAGAAGCCCCGGCUAACUACGUG